CCUACGGGCGGCAGCAGUGGGGAAUAUUGGACAAUGGAGGAAACUCUGACCCAGCAACGCCGCGUGAAUGAUGAAGGUCUUCGGAUUGUAAAGUUCUUUUCUAAGGGAAGAAGAAAGUGACGGUACCUUAGGAAUAAGCCUCGGCUAACUACGUGCCAGCAGCCGCGGUAAGACGUAGGAGGCGAGCGUUAUCCGGAAUGACUGGGCGUAAAGGGGGCGUCGGUGGUUUAGCAAGUUAGUAGCGUAACUCCAAGGCUCAACCUUGGAACUACUACUAAAACUGUUGGACUUGAGUGCAGGAGGGGCAACCGGAAUUCCUAGUGUAGCGGUGGAAUGCGUAGAUAUUAGGAGGAACACCAGUGGCGAAGGCGGGUUGCUAGACUGUAACUGACACUGAGGCACGAAAGCGUGGGGAGCAAACAGGAUUAGAUACCCCGGUAGUC
Molecule: ribosomal RNA, 443 nt
Filed under: uncultured bacterium
Lineage: Bacteria
Description: partial 16S ribosomal RNA
Rfam family: Bacterial small subunit ribosomal RNA
Source: RNAcentral